CUCCUUCCGGUUCAGACCUCUGCGUUUGUUGGUGCUGCACGCCAGCUGCAAAUGAAUGCAUGCACUUAAACAAUGCGCUUAACGGCAUACUGAUUGUGGACCAAUCGUCCUUCGGACUGCCAGUACAAGCUUCCCACGCUUUCCUCCCUGUAAGAGGCACUACUUAAAGAGCUCAGUGGAACGGUCAGCUCGUGGUGUUGGUGGUGGACUUCUGGGUGGUGGUUCCUCUUCUGGUUUGGUGCAUGAUUUUCUUUUGCUUUGCCUAGUUCUGUUUGCUGUGUUUAUUUUUUUUCUUUUUUGUACCCUACCCUGAAUUUCACUCCUCACAGAGUUACGCUUGAAAAAAUUUUUAAAUGUGAGGUUUUAAUUUAGUCUUUUUGAA
Cyprinodon tularosa is the source of this 382-nucleotide long non-coding RNA. RefSeq lists it as uncharacterized. NCBI's taxonomy places the organism in Eukaryota, Metazoa, Chordata, Actinopteri, Cyprinodontiformes, Cyprinodontidae. The transcript is spliced from 3 exons. The record is from RefSeq and is a predicted model, not a curated record.